Long non-coding RNA from Rhipicephalus microplus (southern cattle tick), 412 nucleotides. NCBI's taxonomy places the organism in Eukaryota, Metazoa, Arthropoda, Arachnida, Ixodida, Ixodidae. The record is from RefSeq and is a predicted model, not a curated record.
UGUCACCUACAUUCUCGUUAUUUGGACACCUACGCACAAGACAGCCAGAGUAAUAUUCACAUAUCUGCAGAUUACGCUGCUGUCCACACAGGGUUUCAACGUCGCUGUACUCUACUGCUUCCUGAAUGGCGAGGUGCGAAAGUCUGUGCGGCACCACCUGGAGCGCUGGAAGACUGCCCGUGCCCUGAAACGCGGCGGCCGACGUCGCUCGAGCGCGUCACGUUUCAGCGACGUCCGUGUUGCCAACUCGAAGCGAGGAAGCUGCGGAAGCUUCGCUACGACCACCACGUCGCUGGGAAAUGCGCGCCUCUACUCGGCCACCGGCAAGCGCUUCAGCAACGCUUCCUACGGCCCGGUGGCCCUGAAAGAUGAGCUUGUGUGAACGCGAUUAACCGACCUGCACCACACGACU